GAUGAACGCUGGCGGCGUGCCUAAUACAUGCAAGCCGAGCGAACAGACGAGGAGCUUGCUCCUCUGACGUUAGCGGCGGACGGGUGAGUAACACGUGGAUAACCUACCUAUAAGACUGGGAUAACUUCGGGAAACCGGAGCUAAUACCGGAUAAUAUAUUGAACCGCAUGGUUCAAUAUUGAAAGACGGUUUUGCUGUCACUUAUAGAUGGAUCCGCGCCGCAUUAGCUAGUUGGUAAGGUAACGGCUUACCAAGGCAACGAUGCGUAGCCGACCUGAGAGGGUGAUCGGCCACACUGGAACUGAGACACGGUCCAGACUCCUACGGGAGGCAGCAGUAGGGAAUCUUCCGCAAUGGGCGAAAGCCUGACGGAGCAACGCCGCGUGAGUGAUGAAGGUCUUCGGAUCGUAAAACUCUGUUAUUAGGGAAGAACAAAUGUGUAAGUAACUAUGCACGUCUUGACGGUACCUAAUCAGAAAGCCACGGCUAACUACGUG
RNAcentral lists this ribosomal RNA (497 nucleotides) under uncultured bacterium. RNAcentral describes it as "partial 16S ribosomal RNA". It matches the Rfam family "Bacterial small subunit ribosomal RNA", at positions 28 to 507 of the family's 1533-position model. The record is from RNAcentral.